GACGAACGCUGGCGGCGUGCUUAACACAUGCAAGUCGAACGAUGAAGCCGGAGCUUGCUCCGGUGGAUUAGUGGCGAACGGGUGAGUAACACGUGAGCAAUCUGCCCUUGACUCUGGGAUAACUGCGGGAAACUGUAGCUAAUACCGGAUACGACACCUUGGGGCAUCCCAGGGUGUGGAAAGAAUUUCGGUCAAGGAUGAGCUCGCGGCCUAUCAGCUAGUUGGUGAGGUAAUGGCUCACCAAGGCGACGACGGGUAGCCGGCCUGAGAGGGUGACCGGCCACACUGGUACUGAGACACGGUCCAGACUCCUACGGGAGGCAGCAGUGGGGAAUAUUGCACAAUGGGCGAAAGCCUGAUGCAGCAACGCCGCGUGAGGGAUGAAGGCCUUCGGGUUGUAAACCUCUUUUAACAGGGAAGAAGCGAAAGUGACGGUACCUGCAGAAAAAGCACCGGCUAACUACGUGCCAGCAGCCGCGGUAA
This 483-nucleotide ribosomal RNA is filed under the name uncultured bacterium. RNAcentral's name for it is "partial 16S ribosomal RNA". It matches the Rfam family "Bacterial small subunit ribosomal RNA", at positions 28 to 523 of the family's 1533-position model. The record is from RNAcentral.